UCCGGCUUGACGCCGGCAGUCCCCCGAGAGUCCUCAGCUUUACCUGUUAGUAACACGGGGCAAGGGUUGCGCUCGUUGCGGGACUUAACCCAACAUCUCACGACACGAGCUGACGACAGCCAUGCAGCACCUGUGUACUUGUUCCGAAGAAGGGCCCCUGUUUCCAGAAGCUUUCAAGUACAUGUCAAACCUAGGUAAGGUGGGGAUGACGUUGCUGUACCAUAG
Molecule: unclassified non-coding RNA, 225 nt
Filed under: uncultured Gemmatimonadota bacterium
Lineage: Bacteria; Pseudomonadati; Gemmatimonadota
Description: uncultured Gemmatimonadetes bacterium contains 16S-23S intergenic spacer region
Source: RNAcentral